Molecule: long non-coding RNA, 225 nt
Filed under: Setaria italica (foxtail millet)
Lineage: Eukaryota; Viridiplantae; Streptophyta; Magnoliopsida; Poales; Poaceae
Description: long non-coding RNA (SITA_LNC003076)
Source: RNAcentral
UGUUUUACAGUUACCCAGAAGGGUAUCGAUAGCCAUGAUAGCCCGACGCCGGAUCUGAUCGGCAGAGUCAAGAACCCGUUGGUCUUCAUCUGCCGAUCCAGGGACUUCUGAUGUACUGCGAUGGAGUUUUAGGGCCUCGUGAGCAAAGCGCUGCCUCUCCCGUGUCAAAUCGGCAAUGACAGAAGGUAGCUCUUGGAGCUUUUUCUCUUCGGCACUAAUUGCCUU